UGGUGAGUUGACGCUGAUCUUAUAUUCAGUAGUUCUUCUCGACUGUAUGUAAUGAAACCUAAGAUGACCUGGGGUACUAAUGUAAGAAAUAACAUGUAAAAAAACAAAAAACUGCAUAGUUUCUGAGGAACGCGAAGCGAGGCGGCCAUCUCUGUCGGCGCCGGAAGUACUGUGAAUUGUACUGUGAAUUGUACUGUAUGUGAGUGUGUGUAAAUGUGUCAGUCUAAAUGUGUGUGCAUGUUACGUGUGUGUGUGUUGGAGUGUGUGAAUGUGCAUAGAGACGGUGCAAAAAUAAAAGUAAUGUAUAGUACAAUGUAAUGUUUAGUACAAUGUAGGAUAUAAAUGCUAACAUUUGUUUUCUGUCGGUAUUGAUAUGUUGUACAUCAUCAGUAUGUUGUAAACGUGUUCAAGGGGAUUGAGACAGACAGGAACACAAUCAAACACAGACACGCAGGCAGACGGACUUAGAUAAGAUAGACAUCUGUCCUUGAACUCAGACCUACAGUGGGUGUGUUCAAUCUUGCUCCUCUCCAACCAUAUUUGUUUACCAGUGAUAUGGCCCCAUUGAUGACUCAAGCUACCGUUUUACUAGCUCUUGUCAUAAAAGACUUAGCAACAAUGCCAAACAUUCAAACACUGUGAAUGUACUCCUGUUCUCUAGUUCCUAUUCGACAGUCUCUGUCUCACUCACUGUCCUCUUUCAUGCAUCUGACCAACUACACCAUUAACAAACACAGUGGGAACUUUGUCUGGGACGAGAAGCAAAAGGUGAUCUAUUGACACGAGUCUUCCUGGGCGUUCACUUUGAUGCUGUAUUUGACUAUCCAGCUAUGGUAUUUCACCAAGGUAUUCCUGUAGCGUGGGUAUUUACUCGUGCUUGGUUCCAGGAGUGAAAGGCAAGCACAAUGCCUAUUCUUUUAGGUAUAAAUUCUACAUGUUUCCCUCUCAUUAGGAUAAUGGCUCAAUCCACUUGAGAAAACCCUGUCGGUCACAAAACAGACCAUGCAAAUGCUGUCGGAAUGAAGCAGCUAGAACAAUUAAUGUCAGUCUAAAAGCAAUGACUCAGAGCUGUCAGUCAUGUCCCACUCUGAGACUUAUGGCCAUCUCUGGCCCAGGUCCCCUGUACCAUACUCGUAUCAGUAUGCAAGAGACACAGCCAGGCUUGUCAGCAGGCCAAGCAUCCAAUCUUAUUUGCAGCAUGUGUCACGACUCAGGAGGCUGAUAUACUGCCGCUCAUAUUUCAUCACUGCCUUGAUAUGUCAGGCGUAUUUUUGCCCCCAAACAAAACUAACUCCAAGAACCUUAACAGUGUGGAUAAAGUGAAAAAAUCAAGUUGUCUGCAGUUGUACACACAAACAACAUUGUGACAGUUGAAAGUGUUUUCGCAAGAAGAGGCAGCGGCAUUGGAAUAGGUCUAUGACAUGACGCACAACCGAUACUGUAUGUGGCGACAUUCCUGUCUGUUUGAAUGGUCUUUGUCCCGCUCGCUGUCUUUCUCUCUCUCCCCCCUCCCCACAGGAAGUUGACCCAUCUGCUGGAGACGAUGCACUGAUACGGGGAAGGUGUGGGCUGACAUCGAGGAUGUGGUGAUCAAGGCUCUGGUCUCAGCCCACUCAGUGCUCCAGCACAGCUACCACACAUGCUUCUCGUACCACGCCGCCUCCAACACCGCCACCGGGGCCUACUUCGAGAUCCUGGGCUUCGACGUGCUCAUCGACUACCGCCUCAAGCCCUGGCUGUUCGAGAUCAACCACUCCACUAGCUUCACUACAGACUCCAGGCUGGACAGAGAGGUGAAGGACAGGCUGCUGUAUGACAUGAUGGUGCUGAUUAACCUGAGGGCCUGUGACCGACGCAAAGCUACUGAGGAAAAGAGAGGAGCAGGAUCAGAGACUGGCUGCAGCACAUCCGCUCCAAGGAGACACGGUGUGAGAGCAGUUGCAGGAGCCCCAUGAGAAACAUAGCCAGAGCAGGUGUCAGAGACUGGGCCUGCUGGGGGAGUCAGCAGGAGACGAGGGUAAAAUCCACAAAGCACCCCUCUGCCCCAUCCAUCCCAAUCCUCUGGCCUGCUCCGCUCACUUCCUCCCAGGGUCACCCAGGCGCUGAAGGAGGGGGAGGAGGGGGAGGAAGAGCAUCUCAGGGGGCUGCAGCUGAGGGCCAGCCUGCUCAGAGACCUGGGCAGACCAGGUGUUCGUCACAGUGCCACCUAU
Oncorhynchus keta (chum salmon) is the source of this 2210-nucleotide long non-coding RNA. RefSeq lists it as uncharacterized. Lineage: Eukaryota; Metazoa; Chordata; Actinopteri; Salmoniformes; Salmonidae. The transcript has 4 exons. The record is from RefSeq and is a predicted model, not a curated record.